RNAcentral lists this small RNA (2302 nucleotides) under Arabidopsis thaliana (thale cress). Its description in RNAcentral is "ATSL090750". Lineage: Eukaryota; Viridiplantae; Streptophyta; Magnoliopsida; Brassicales; Brassicaceae. The record is from RNAcentral.
AAGAGAUGAUAUAAUACAAUGGUAAAGUGAGGCGCUUCUCUCAAUCGAAGAAUGAACGAAGUUGGUCGUCAAUGGCUGCCUGUAAUUGCUCUCAGGCCAUAGACGAGCCGCCCUGUUCUGUAUCAGCUCCAGCAGGUGGGUACUCUACCUCAUCAGGUCUAUGGCGGCUAGCACCGCUCUGAGGAUACUCGACCUCUCUUCUUCUGCUGCGGCCAGCACCGCGGUCGCAUAAACUACGAGACUGUAGAAGUCGUCUACUCCUGCUGCUAGAUCGAGUGAGUGUGGUCCUCCUCUUCCUCCCAGAUUCACGAGGCUCGAAUGAUGAAUGCCUCGUAGGGACAUGCAAAAUCUCCAGCUCUCUAGGCUCAGGCCUGCGCCGACUUGGCUCAGGUGCGGCAUAUCUCCUCGAGGGCAUGUCCUGAGGGAGCUGUCCCUUCGGAAUAUCUGUAGUGGAAGAGGAGCAGCUGAGCUUGGCCUUCUGAAGCUUGAUAGCUCUGAGGCACUUGGCGAGUAACUUAUCCUGUUUCUUGCACCACUUCUGCAACUUGCUGUUGUUCCUGUGAGCUUCGCUCAAACUCUUGCUUUCCCUCGUUGGAGGUAUAUGCUCACGGAAAUGAUACAUGCUCGUGUCAAACUCCGCCUCAUCUAUUUCAUCUGUCUCAUCAGCAUCUUCUGUUGUAGCUCCUUCGGUGUGACUAAUCACCUCAGUUGGCGGACUGCCCUCGAAAUAAAGAUCUUCAAGUGCAGGCUUGAAGUCAAUGUUCCUUCCCUCGAGAAUCCUAGUAGUGUCAAUUCAGGGGAGAAGAAUGUUGACGAUUCUAAUCGAUGAAUGCUCGAAUUUGUAGCGGUCGAAGUCGCCAACCAUGUCAUACUCCAAGAACUCACAUCGGCGCAAAUGAUCCAAGUCCAUCAUUCUAGGUGCUACACCUGGUUCCUUGAGCGGUACUCCACAAGCUUCCAGAAUUGGUGUCACAAUGCCACCCACGCAUAGUGCUCUUCUCACCUUGUUCUUGCCGUUUGUCAACGCCCACUUCUUGUAUCCACACAUGUGGAUCAGUAGAGGCAUUACUGGUGGUGCGUUGUUGAGAUCGCCUCUCAAGACAUUCUUUCCCUUUGUACGGCGAAGAAUCUUUGUAAGCGAGGAAUCUAUCAUCUCCAUGUCUAUGGAAUCUAUCAUCUCCAUGUCCGUGUUAGACACGGUGCCUGUAGACUCCCUGGAGUAAAAAACAUUGGCAACCGAGCGCUGAAAGUAGCGAAUCACAGGACUCUGGAUUUGGUUGCUCUUGGACUGCGUAGAGUUUAGCGGUACAUUGUUCCCAAUAGUAACCCACAAAUCCUUAAGCUCUUCCCUGUCAAACCUAGGUUUGGUUCCCUUUCCACUAGGGAAACCAAACAGUUCUUCCAACUUCUUGAUCGAAAGCUGAUACCGCUGUUCAUCCACUGAGAACGUCAAGAACCCUAAUCCCAUGGUAUCCAGCUCAAAGUCCGUGAGACCCUGAUACAUUUCUACUUGCAGUGUGGAAAGAAACUCGAUCGUCUCCUCCUUAUAGGCAGCGUAAGGGUAAGACAUGAGUGUCUUCAGAUGACACUUCUCGAACAGAUGCUGCACGUCCUCCAGUAACCCCAGCUAGACGAAAGUCUCAUAGCAGGGAUACCUCGUUCCCCAGAAGUCGUUCAUCUCAAAGAAUCUGAUAUACUCCUCCAUUGUAACCUCGUCGGGUUUAUUCAGUAGCUUCGUCUCCUUGCGCCAUGACUCUGGCUCAUACUCAGUUUCGAUGUCCUUAUCAAUCAGCUCAUAUCUACUCGACAUCGCUCUCUUUCCUCUAGCAAUUUUAGCUCUUCUCUGAUCACGUCGAGCUGCGGAGCGUUCAAAUUCAUCCCUGAAGCUCUCGUAAACAUGUUCCUCUCUCUCCGGUCUAGUGGACCAAGACUCAGCUUCAUCCACAUUAUAAUCAGGAUCCAUAGGGGAUUCUCCACUGUAGUUACUCAUGAUGAAACCUGGAGACAGAUGAAACUCAAAGAUAAACGUUAAUACGUUAGUAACAGCAAAACCAAAAACACAAUCUAACCAGUGUACCGGUCGAGCGAAACUAGUUUCGUGGUUAGAGUGAGGCGGUGGUCGAGUGGUGAGGUUGAAGAGGAGGAGAGCAGCUGCGGUUUGACCGUGGAAAUAAAGGAGUGGUCGAGUGAACUGUGAGGUGAAAGCGGGCUUGUGGCCGAGUGGUGUUGCUUUGGCGGUGAAUCGAUGAAGCUGUGAGGGAGCAACGGUCGAGUAACUAGUGGAUUAUAAAUGAGCUGCGGC